Pimephales promelas (fathead minnow) is the source of this 514-nucleotide non-coding RNA. The record is from RefSeq and is a predicted model, not a curated record. NCBI's taxonomy places the organism in Eukaryota, Metazoa, Chordata, Actinopteri, Cypriniformes, Leuciscidae.
UGAUCGUCGUCGGAUUUGAAAGUAACGGCUCCUCUCAUCAAAGCUUCAGCUGUUUGUUCGGCUCUCCGUUACAAGAAGAACCACUGCAUUUCUAAAAUCAUCUGAACAUUUCAGAGGCUACAUUGAAUUACAGGAGGAAGUUACCGGCACCACACUACAAUGUAACUGAAUGAUGACUGUGGUUGCAUUACGCCUGAGAUCUGCUUUUGGGUUCCACAGACAGAAAGUCAAACAGGUUCGGAAUGUCACAAGGAAAUUAUUUUCAGUUCACAACUAUCACUUUAAUAACACUGCUGACAGUAAUUUUGGUUCUUUGCAGGCACCUCGGUAAGCUGAAAUACAAGUUUGAACAAGAAAAAUAAUUCUCCUGUAGACCUGAAAAUCAUAGAAGUGCCUGGACCAUCCACCAGUAAAGAGGAAAAACAAACGGAAAAUUGUACUGUUCUAACUCGUUAACCUCACAUGUCCCUUGUUAAGAUUUUAUUAAUGAUUGCAUUUUAUGUUUCAGCAAGUA